CACAGUUAACCCCGGGAGCCCCCAAAAAUUUAUUGUGGUUUUUCCCCCCCUAAGCCCUCUCCCUAUACCCCCAUUGGAACCCUCAAAAUCUCGCAAUGAAUUUCAGGGACCCCCACGGGGGAACCUUGUGCCAAUUUUCCCACCAACCCUCCAAGGUUUUUCCAUCCUUUCCCUUAAAAAACAGGUUUCCCUGGGGCAGGGACAAGAGCAAAAUGGUCGUCACAAGUUCGUCGUAAAAUGGUUAAGUCCCGGAAAUCAUGCAACCCUUAUGUAAGUGCCAUCAAAGUUGGCCCUUGAGGAGAUUCCCGUGUUCAACCUGAGUAAGUUGGAUCACGUUAAAGUUCAGCCCGUAUAUCAUGUCUGCCGGUGCACAAUGGUCGAUCUGGCGUGCACCUCGCGAGAGGGAGUAAUCCGAUAAAUCCGUUCUCAUGUUCGAUUGUAGGCUGCUUUUCGCAUACAUGAACCUGAGUCAGCUAGUAAUUCGGAUCACAUGCCGGGUGAAUAGUUUCGGGCCUUGAACACUACCGCCCGUCACGCCACGAGAGUUUGAACACCCGAAGUCGGUGAGGUAACCUCAGUAUCCUCGUGUCUCCCGACUCAAU
Molecule: ribosomal RNA, 602 nt
Filed under: Lysinibacillus sphaericus
Lineage: Bacteria; Bacillati; Bacillota; Bacilli; Caryophanales; Bacillaceae
Description: partial 16S ribosomal RNA
Rfam family: Bacterial small subunit ribosomal RNA
Source: RNAcentral